GGACACUGCAAUGUUGUUACGCCUUAGUGACUUUCUCAACUGAUGUAGCAGAAAAGAAACAGCCCCUAGGAAUGAGCCAGAGCUCCAUCCAGCAGAGAGAAACCAAAAGCAGUCUGCUCCGUUACUGUCUGUAUCUUCGCAGUCCCGUCAAGUCCACCACUGAUUUUGAUACUGCCUUCAUCUUUGACAGGUGGUCCAAACGUGGAUGCCUAAAGCUACAUCUGCCUGCCUAAACCCAGCAUUUCAAAAGCUAAGGAAUCAUGGGUGCCUUGUUUCUUUCAUUUGCAAUUUGAAGCACUUUCAAGACACCUUGCAGCUGAAAAUAAAGGCAAAGGGAGCAACUUGCCUCAAAGAGCAUCCUCCAAGCCAUUCACCUUCCUCACAGCUUUGGCUAUCCAUAGCCCUGCUGAGGACAAUGUAGUUUAUCAAUGCAGCACUGCAGGAUAACCUCAAACCACUGCCAGCCUGCUUGAAAAAACCUGCAAAACACAGCGAUCCAGCAGCUGCUACUUAGCCUGCUGAAUUCUACUGCUGCGACAUCCAAGUGCUGGCAGCAGGAGUGAUCAGCAUCCUGAGGCUAUUUCAGCAUGAGCGUUUGAAAACUAAGUCGCUGAAAUUUACUGUUCAUUAUUCCUCUGGAAAAAUUCAGGCUGACAUUGAAAGCCUUUUCAAAAGUCCUGAGGUCCUAGAAACUACCGUUACUUUUCAAAGUAGCUGCUGAGUGCUUGGUUGUUUUAGAACAACUGCAUUUCGAUCUGUGGCCUUAGCAGCCCGACUUGAUGGACUGACAGUUUUAUUACAGAAACUUUAAAUAUGGUAGGAACUUCAAACCGAGAAAAAUGGCUCCUUCUAAGUCUUAAGUUCAUGAAACUAUUCAUGACUUCGAAAGAAUGUUUGUGUUUGAAGCAUAAAUAAUGCGGUAGUAAUGACUUCAAAUAACAUGGAAAUGGGUGAAGAGGAGGGGCAAACAAAAUUUUUUUAUUUGAGGAUCUCAUCAUUCAUUCCUGCCUCCUUUUUCUUUCCUAUUUUCUGAAAGAUUCUUUGCAUCGAUGCUGAAGAGCAGCCAACCACCGACUGCUGCUCCUGUGGGUAACGGCUGCCUGGUGGCAACCCCACUUACGGCCAGAUCCUUCUAUCGCAUAUUCAUCUCAGAUCUCAUUCAAAAUGCCCCCAAAAGAGCCAGAGGGUGAAUUAGCAAACAGGUGGCAUAGACAAUAGCGGUCCAGAGCUCUACUGCACUUCUUGGACCUCUUGAGGAGUGGAGGCACCUCUAACUGCCGCAGAGCCCAGCCAGCCCCCGUCCUUCCCAUACCUAGGCAAGGGAACCCAUGGUGGCCAUCACCUCCACGUUUGAAGGCUGCUGCCCUCACCUGGUAGGCAGAAAUGAAGGACACGGGAGCUCUAUGGGACAGGUCUUUCCUGACCGCUGCAUUUGAUAUACCUCGAGACAGGAGUAUGGCAGAGGAAGGACGCUGUGACUGUAGAGCAUGGGCAGACCCACCUUUUGGUAGCACACAGCUUUUCCACCAGAAAAGAUUUUAUUCCUCCUGGGUGGUGUAAAGGUGGGGCUGUAGCAGCUCCAGUCUAAUGAAGGUAGGGAAGUAGCCUUUAUUAUCUGGGUGAGGGAGUUUUAAGCCCAGGAGUACACUGGGGUCCCCAGAUGAUGCAAAAUGUGAUUUUGCAUUCUUCCCAGAACUACAGAAAGCGCUUUCCUGGAAAGCAAGAAAGAAGCAGAGAAGCAGCAGGGUCACAGUUACUGUUCUGGCUGCUCUUGUAGCGUCCGCGUGCACUGCCUCUCACUGCUUUUCUAGCAAACCCAGUGGCUUAAUUUAGCCUUUAAAGACCAAUUCCUUCACCUGAUUUAGAAAGAAGAAAUCACUGUCUCCAGGAACAGCAGCACCAUGGGCUAAAUACAGCUCAAGUACAAUUCUACUGACGCCAGUGGCAGGAAUAUGGCUCAGCAUGUCAUCUCUUGGCUUGGCCUGCAGAAUCAGCGUGGUGACCAUUACGAAUUUGCUAUCUUGAUGUAAUCCUUGGUACCUCUGUAAGAAAGACUGCAACAUCUUUCCCUGGAGAAAAAUAUACAGAUUUGUAUAAACUGGAGGAUAUUAUUGUGCGUAUUAAAAUGUUCGCAGGGUAUUAUCCCACAGCCCAUCCCAUAUUUAUUUUGGAAACAAUUACAUCUGGAAAAUGGGAAAACUUCCAGACAAGUCCUUUACCUUGAAAUAUCAGCAAACACAAGGGUAUUUUGAGAUUAUUCCCUGCUAAGAAAUGGAAAAGUAACAUUCAUGAAUGUAAGCCAGAAGAGAAUCCCUCUACAAAUAAUGCAAAAUGGGUUAUGUUUCGAAGUGUAAGUAGUUUGGGAGACAAGGGUAAAAAGUAGUUCUUAAAGGGUCCUUCUCUCCUUGGAGGAAAGUCAACGCAGCUCAGUUAAUGGUCAUUUGUUCCCAUUCAAUACAGCCAUUUCAUGCAUUAGUGAUAUACAAGAUUAUGUACUGUACCUACCAUUUGUCCCAGAUUUUGAGAAGAAAUGGAGACUGGAGCAACAUCUCCAAGUUCCUAUGCGGUUUACCGAAGGAAGCAGAUGUCUGCGUGUACGCAUUGCCUCCACUGACCUGAGCAGAAGGAUGAAUCUAAUCCCUAGCUUUUUUAGCAGCAGAAUAUUUUUCAGUCUGGAUUUCAUAAACUUUAUGAUUGAGGCAUAAGACAAUUGCGCAGAUGGCAGGAGAACAAACUGAAGGACAAAAACAAUGAGAGUGGAAGAAUGGAGAAAGAAGGAAAUAUAAGUGAAUGCAAAAAAAUCCUUCUGCUGGAAUGAGCAGUUCUUAUCGGAUAGCAGAAGCUACUUCCAGACGUGAAGUUCAGGCACCAAAAACUGCAUGAGUAGAAGGGGAAGGCUGGAUCACCUGUCCCAAGGGAGAAAACAACUACAUGGCAAAAACCAGCACACAAAUUGGAAAGCAGCAUGAGGGAAUCGAGAGGGCAAAGCAUGAUGUUUCUUCCAAGUUAAAAUGUUUCCAGAUUGUUCUGAUACUUAAAAAUGUUUAGAAGGAAGAUCUUCCGAUCCCAAUGCAAUUGAAAGGCAAAGCCUCCUGCAAUGUGAAGUUGCCCAUUUGGCUUUUUUCCUCAGUUUCUUUUUGUCUGCCUGGUUUUGUUCUAAUACGUGAAACGCUCUGCCUUGGAUUCUUCCCAGCUAGAUCACCUCCUAACACCGAUACCUGCCACUGCAAAGGCGAGAGAAAAUCUUCAUACCUCCCACUACUCUCAUGGGCUGAGAUGAGACACGUGACCUACUUGCAGAUCCUAGAUUUAGCAGAUGCUGAAGAUCUCAGUGGAAAAUGUUCUCAGACUGAGGCCCACCAGAACCUGGAAAGACAGGCACUACUUCAUUCAGCAAUUGCUACCCAAGCCCUCUGGUUCCCUAAUGUAACCAGUUAUCAUAGGUAUAGGUGAACUGGAGGAUUGCAGUGCUGUCCAUCAGUUCAGGUCCCUUGUAAAGACUCAGUCUGGCCCUGGACAUGUGCUGAAAGCUGCAUUUUGUUAACCCACCUGCAAACGGGUACGUGAGCAACUGGAGCAGAGUCUAAAUACAGUGAGACGCUGCCACAUUGCUCCCUUCUGUGGCACAAGGCAUGGAGGCUGGGAUAUCGUAGCUGUCUUAGUCUAACGAGGCUCAUGUCUAUCCGACAUUUUCAGCAGCCUAAAUUUUUAUGCAGACACACUGAUACUGCUACAUCCAUAAGGACCACGGAGUAAGCUGAGCACUCUCAGCUUCCCCACCAUUUGUGCUGCUUAGCAAUUAGCUCACUCCCCGGCUUUGUUUUUGGGACUACUCUGAGUAACUGCCUCCGAGGCACCUAAAUAUUGAAAGGCAAGUCCUGAACAGCGUGUGCCACGUUACCUGGCUUUAUACCACAGGAUUCAUCACUGCUGUUUAAGUAAUGUUAUAGACACAGCCUGCUACUCCUAGUACGCAGCCUUGCUCACGUGGCAAGGAGUGCUCCCAAAACCCCCAGGUACUUACAGGGGGCAAAAAUAAAGGUCCUCGAUGCUUUUUUAA
Long non-coding RNA from Falco peregrinus (peregrine falcon), 4060 nucleotides. RefSeq lists it as uncharacterized. The record is from RefSeq and is a predicted model, not a curated record. NCBI's taxonomy places the organism in Eukaryota, Metazoa, Chordata, Aves, Falconiformes, Falconidae. The transcript is spliced from 2 exons.